This 341-nucleotide ribosomal RNA is filed under the name uncultured eukaryote. RNAcentral describes it as "bacterial SSU rRNA". It matches the Rfam family "Eukaryotic small subunit ribosomal RNA", at positions 592 to 940 of the family's 1831-position model. The record is from RNAcentral.
CAAUAGCGUAUAUUAAAGUUGUUGCAGUUAAAAAGCUCGUAGUUGGACUUCUGAUGUGGGACUGCGCCCCGGUAUUUUGCCGUUGGGUGCGGGCUCGCGUCUUCCUCUCGUAGUUGGAUGGUGCACUUAACUGGGUGCCUUCUGAAUAUGGGACCUUUACUUUGAGAAAAUUAAAGUGUUCAAAGCAGGCGCUCGCUUGAAUACAUUAGCAUGGAAUAAUAGUAUAGGACUUUGAUCUUAUUUGUUGGUUUUAAAGAUCAAAGUAAUGAUUGAUAGGGACAGUUGGGGGCAUCAGUAUUCUGAAGCGAGAGGUGAAAUUCUUGGACCUUCGGAAGACUAAC